GACGAACGCUGGCGGCGUGCUUAACACAUGCAAGUCGAGCGGUAAGGCCCUUUCGGGGGUACGACGAGCGGCGAACGGGUGAGUAACACGUGGGUGACCUGCCCUCAGCUCUGGGAUAAGCCUGGGAAACUGGGUCUAAUACUGGAUAUGACUCCACGGUGCAUGUCGUGGGGUGGAAAGCCUUGUGCGGCUGAGGAUGGGCCCGCGGCCUAUCAGCUUGUUGGUGGGGUGANGGCCUACCAAGGCGACGACGGGUAGCCGGCCUGAGAGGGCGACCGGCCACACUGGGACUGAGACACGGCCCAGACUCCUACGGGAGGCAGCAGUGGGGAAUCUUGCGCAAUGGGCGAAAGCCUGACGCAGCGACGCCGCGUGAGGGAUGACGGCU
Molecule: ribosomal RNA, 388 nt
Filed under: uncultured bacterium
Lineage: Bacteria
Description: bacterial SSU rRNA
Rfam family: Bacterial small subunit ribosomal RNA
Source: RNAcentral